GGGUCAGUAGGUUGGUCGUGCCACCGGUACGUACUGGUCUCACUGAUUCCUCCUUCCUGAAGACCCGUAAUGCCAUUAAUUGGGUGUUGCGGGGAAACGGGACCGUUACUUUGAAAAAAUUAGAGUGUUUAAAGCAAGCUAACGCUUGAAUACAUUAGCAUGGAAUAAUGAAAUAGGACGAUCGAUCCUAUUUUGUUGGUUUCUAGGAUUGACGUA
Molecule: ribosomal RNA, 216 nt
Filed under: Glomeromycotina sp.
Lineage: Eukaryota; Fungi; Glomeromycota
Description: partial small subunit ribosomal RNA
Rfam family: Eukaryotic small subunit ribosomal RNA (bases 87-216)
Source: RNAcentral